Klebsiella pneumoniae IS39 is the source of this 106-nucleotide non-coding RNA. Lineage: Bacteria; Pseudomonadati; Pseudomonadota; Gammaproteobacteria; Enterobacterales; Enterobacteriaceae. The record is from Rfam.
CUUUAAAAAUCUGGAUCAAGCUGAAAAUUGAAACGACACACAGUUAAUGUGUGUUCGAGUCUCUCAAAUUUUCGCGACACGAUGAUGUUUUACGAAACAUCUUCGG